RNAcentral lists this long non-coding RNA (1086 nucleotides) under Anolis carolinensis (green anole). Its description in RNAcentral is "lncRNA (ENSACAG00000037221.1)". The record is from RNAcentral. Lineage: Eukaryota; Metazoa; Chordata; Lepidosauria; Squamata; Anolidae.
AUGUUGGCUCUCCUGAUUCUGGCUCUUCUCAGAGACGUUGCAGGAAUGACCUUCCUUGAUCAUGAUGGGAAUGCAACACGGAAAUUGAUCUGCAGCAAAUCGAGUCCUAAAGACAGAACAGGCUGGUGGUUUACAGGGAAAUCCUUACAAUCCUUUGGACAACAGAGCUGCAAUUCAACUGUUUGUGGAGAACAGUGUGACCCACCGGCUUCAUGUCACACAGAAGGGGAAGAGCUUGAUUUCAAACCCCGUCAUGGCGGAAUCGUUGCAUGCAAAAACCUAACGGGUACUACAUCAAACCAACUCCCGUUAUUUUCUAAGGAGGAAGAUUGCAAGGAUUUCGACUUCUUCAUGGUAGGGAGAACACAGAACACAAUAAAGACAAAAGUCUACAGUAAGAACAUACCAAAGGAGGAAAAGAAUUUGAGUCUUUCCUGCCAAUUUGAACUGGAGGAAAGCACAGUCACGUUUGCUGUGUAUUGGAUCAAGGAAGCCGGAGGAAGCACGUGCCUUUUUUCCGCUUCUAAUGAAGACUGCCAUAACUCUCGUGUGUAUUCUUAUGAUAUAAACUGUUGUGUGGAUGCUGGUAUCAAAGGGAGAAGGCUCAAAAACUCAACCGCUUUGGAUACAGCAGGACGAACUCAGAGCCAUGAGAUUACGAUUACCAAUGUCAAUUCUUCUGACAGUGGAAAAUAUUUGUGCCUAGUCGGUGUCUUCAGACGUCCUCUAGUGUGGAUGAUCGUAACCAACAUUUCUGUAAACGUGCAAGAAGAAGCUUUUGCAGCAUCUGGUUUCAGAUACGUGAUAGUUGGCCUCUUUCUCCUCGUUGGAAUAAUCUUAAUUCUUUGCUGGAGGAAGAAAUCCAAAGGGAAACCACCUGAAAUACAUCAAAGGGAUCAAACUGAAAUGGAAGGAGAUGAGUGUUCUCCGUAUGCAAUCUCCAAUCGCAACAAUUCAGGCGGAUAUGAAGCGAUCUAUGUGCUUGCAACGCAUCCUGGAGUGAAACCAAAUGCAGCCGAUUCCAAACUGGAUUCUGGAGACAAUCUACAAGCCAUCUACGCCUUGGUGGAUAAAAAGAAACCUUGA